RNAcentral lists this ribosomal RNA (200 nucleotides) under uncultured bacterium. RNAcentral describes it as "partial 16S ribosomal RNA". It matches the Rfam family "Bacterial small subunit ribosomal RNA", at positions 524 to 723 of the family's 1533-position model. The record is from RNAcentral.
UACGGAGGGUGCGAGCGUUAUUCGGAUUUAUUGGGCGUAAAGCGCGCGUAGGCGGUUUGGAUAGUCUGCUGUGAAAGCCCACGACUCAAUCGUGGAACUGCAGUGGAAACUACCAGACUAGAGUACUGGAGGGGAGAACGGAAUUCCUGGUGUAGAGGUGAAAUUCGUAGAUAUCAGGAGGAACAACGGUGGCGAAGGCG